CCGGCCGCCCGCGGCGCUCGCAAAGUUCGGAUCCGCAAGGACCGGGCCAGCGGGACGUCCGCGUGGCAGGGUGCACUUUCUCCGCGGUCGAGUGCUACGACCGGUUUCGAGGCGGUCAGAAGCCCGGCGGAAAGGUAGCGCCGCCCCUCGGGGUGUCGUGUUAUAGGCCGCCGCGGUGGACUCGCCGCGAGACCGAGGACGCUUGCCGCGCCGAGCGGUCCCGGGCCGUCUUGGGUGGUUCGACCUCGGCUGCACUGCUCCGCAGAGCACCGUAACCGCCGCCCUAGCACGGGUCCGGAGACUGCCGGCGCCUCGGGUCAGUAGCG
This 326-nucleotide ribosomal RNA is filed under the name Corbicula japonica. RNAcentral describes it as "partial 28S ribosomal RNA". Lineage: Eukaryota; Metazoa; Mollusca; Bivalvia; Venerida; Cyrenidae. The record is from RNAcentral.